CCCUUCUCAGGAUCACAUCUGGAGAGGUUCCAGUACUCUAUCAGACUCAACUAUGGGAGGGAGAGUCAAGCAGAGGCAUAUCCAUUCCAUUCCUAGCUUGGCAGUGGCUAGCGACUGGAAGACAAUCCGCUACAAGU
RNAcentral lists this small nucleolar RNA (137 nucleotides) under Ornithorhynchus anatinus (platypus). Lineage: Eukaryota; Metazoa; Chordata; Mammalia; Monotremata; Ornithorhynchidae. The record is from RNAcentral.